UGACAUUCAUGGUUGUUGUUCUCAUUGAAACUACCUACACUCUAAAAAAUGCAUGUCAUGUUAACAGCACCGAGAAGUCGCCAUUUUCUCAGCGUCUUUGGAUGGAAUUGAGUGAAAGAUGGCUUAUGGUAAGUAAAGAUAAAAAAUUAAAGAUAUUCUCACUUAUUUCUGUUCAAGCGUAUUUUGAGAUGGAUUUGAAGACGAAAAAAGUCAGAGAAGAACUUAGAUGGAAAUUUUCGCGGUUGCCUCAAUUCGUCGGUUCGUCUCAUGUCUUAACGGCCUCUUUAAUUGAAUCGAAGAAACAUUUUUAAUAUAGUGGGUUUCUUAUCAUAUUUAACGUUACAAGUUUCUUGGUGUCUGUUAAGGUUAUCAACAGAUUCACAUUUUAAUUCAUUAUUUUUUUAUCUUCGCGAUUAACCCGAAAGUAAUGACCUAGUUUUCCUUAAGGAAAUGAAACUGCGAUAUGAAAUAAAGGUUGAUUUGUUUUGUUGGUGUUGAAGCGAUAAUUGUUAAUUAAUGUUUUGCAUAUAAUAUUUCAGGCAUGUUGUGCUUUGUGUGUUUAUUUGGCCUGCGCCGGGAGUAAUGUUAAACGACAGGCGACUGCUGUGCGAGGAUGCGCGAUCUUCUCUGCUUCUUCAGAAGAAGAGAGGGAAAGACGAUUUAUGAACUCAAACCAACUGUGGAGAGGAGCCCUUCUCCUUGGUCUUCCUUUCUUAAAGGAAUAGUUCACACAAAAAUAAAAAUUGUCACCAUUUACCCAACCUCAUAUCUUUCCAAACCCAUAAGACUUUUGUCCAUCAAUGGAACACAAAUGAAGAUAUUUAAUAAUCUCAUCCUUUUUAUUUAUUUAUUUUUCUCCAUUUACAGUCUAGAUAAUCAGUAUUUUUACCUUCACAAAUACAAAGUUAUUGUAGUAAUCCAUACCAAUAUUUAUAUAUGAAUAAAAUCCUAAAUUAUAUCUGUUCAUAUCAUAUAAAGCAAUCAUGUCUGUUCAGAAAAUUCAAAACUGUUGGACUCCCUGACUUGCAAUGGAUGGACAAAAAAUUGAGAGAAUAUUAAAAAUAUCUUCAUUUGUGUUUCAAAGAUUAGCAAAAGUCUUAUGGUUUUGGAACGACAUGAGGGAGAGUAAAUUAUGACAGUUUUCUUUUUUGGGUGAACUAAUACUUUAAAGAGCAGCCCUCCAAGUUCAUCAAAAUGUGUGAG
Long non-coding RNA from Megalobrama amblycephala (Wuchang bream), 1203 nucleotides. RefSeq lists it as uncharacterized. The record is from RefSeq and is a predicted model, not a curated record. The transcript has 2 exons. NCBI's taxonomy places the organism in Eukaryota, Metazoa, Chordata, Actinopteri, Cypriniformes, Xenocyprididae.